Molecule: unclassified non-coding RNA, 138 nt
Filed under: uncultured Lecanoromycetes
Lineage: Eukaryota; Fungi; Ascomycota; Lecanoromycetes
Description: sequence contains ITS2
Source: RNAcentral
CACCCCUCAAACUUCACUGUUUGAUGUUGGGCAGUGCCUGUAGGCAUGCCUCAAAGUCAGCGACGGUUUCAGCCAACCUCAGACGUACAAGUAUCGUUAUAGGGCGCGGUUGGGGCCUGUCUUAACUAAACACCUAAA